ACACGACUACAUUAGAUACCCCCGUAGUCCUGGCCGUAAACGAUACUCGCUAGGUGUCGGCCACGGUGCGACCGUUGUCGGUGCCGUAGGGACGCCGUGAAGCGAGCCACCUGGGAAGUACGGCCGCAAGGCUGAAACUUAAAGGAAUUGGCGGGGGAGCACAACAACGGGUGGAGCUUGCGGUUUAAUUGGAUUCAACGCCGGAAAUCUUACCGGGACCGACAGCAACAUGAAGGCCAAGCUGAAGACUUUGCCGGAUUAGCUG
This 265-nucleotide ribosomal RNA is filed under the name uncultured archaeon. Its description in RNAcentral is "partial 16S ribosomal RNA". It matches the Rfam family "Archaeal small subunit ribosomal RNA", at positions 717 to 982 of the family's 1478-position model. The record is from RNAcentral.